GUCUCCCUGUAUCUCAGUGGUUAGGGCAUCUGACUGUUGUGCAGAAGGUCAUGGGUUCAACUAUCAUCAGGGACU
Molecule: non-coding RNA, 75 nt
Organism: Desmophyllum pertusum
Lineage: Eukaryota; Metazoa; Cnidaria; Anthozoa; Scleractinia; Caryophylliidae
Source: the annotation of a GenBank genome assembly